RNAcentral lists this long non-coding RNA (1102 nucleotides) under Brassica napus (rape). Its description in RNAcentral is "long non-coding RNA (BNAP_LNC009465)". The record is from RNAcentral. Lineage: Eukaryota; Viridiplantae; Streptophyta; Magnoliopsida; Brassicales; Brassicaceae.
UAAUAUUUCUCUGAUCACUCAAAAAAGAUUCCGCUGUAAUAAAUAUACAUUUUGUCAUUUUGACUACACAUAAAUUGUCAUGUACAACCAUUUGUUAUUAUAUAGUUAGAUGUUUAAGGGGCAGGCGAGUCAAGCGAAUAUGAGUAAAAAAUAGUUAUAUGUUUUAAGGGGGAGACGAGUCAAGCGCAUAUGGCAUAUGAGUAAAAAAUUAAAGCAAUAGCCAAGAUUUUCGCUCUCCUCAUAAAGUCAUAAGCUCUAUUUGUGUCCGCAUACUUGUCACACGUGGCAUCCUAUUUGGGUGUCAACACGGAAACACGGAAACACGGAAAUACGUUCAUGACACGUCGAUCACUGAAUGGCAGCUUCAAUAUUGUCGACAAUGGAAAAUUUUUGUAUUAUAGAGAUUCCUUAGCACCACGCCUCAAAGUACAAUAAUUCACGCUAUUGUCAGAAAACUUUUAUUUGUCUCCAUCAAUACUGGUCCUCCCAUUGGGAUGUCACAUCAAAUAACACGCGUAAGCACGUUCUCAAUACCUCAAUCUCUAGAAGGGCAGCUUCAAUAUACGCCCCCGAUGAUAUCCUUGAAAACAUAAUCAACUAAAGGCAUCUCAAAGACUCAAAAUAAUAAUACGAUUUUGGGGUAAAAAUCAUAUUAUUUUAAUGUUACUUUAACAUUAAAGAAUUUCAUUCUCCAAUAACACCAUCAACCACCUUCUAUCAUGUUUACCAAUUGGUCUGAUUUGCUAUCUUGGAUUCAAUCACUAGCAACUCUGCUGCAAAUUAGCCUCGCAAACAGCUGUGUACCACCUGUGGAAGCAAACAAACAAUUAGGUCCACAAUCAAACUUCCUUCCUUUCAUCGGUGUUUCGUGGCAUUGAUAGAGAAAUGAAGAACAUUAUUCGGCCAGAAGAAACCAAGAACACUUACAGUCGCUUAUGUUGUCUUUGCGGCUGCGAUAUUCAUGAUCAUGUUUGUAACGGCCUUGGUCCGAUGAACCUUAUCAAAUGCUUUACCCCAAACCUUUUCGUUCAAAAACUCUUAUUAAAACUCAAAUUUGUCUUACAUAAAACCAAACUCAACAAAACUGAAAUGUCGAAUAAAA